RNAcentral lists this ribosomal RNA (304 nucleotides) under Paracyclopina nana. Its description in RNAcentral is "SSU rRNA". It matches the Rfam family "Eukaryotic small subunit ribosomal RNA", at positions 262 to 567 of the family's 1831-position model. The record is from RNAcentral. Lineage: Eukaryota; Metazoa; Arthropoda; Copepoda; Cyclopoida; Cyclopettidae.
UGGGCCGAUCGCAUGGCCUUGAGCCGGCKACGUAUCCUUCCAAGGUGUGCCCUAUCAACUGUCGACUGUGGUAUAGACGUCCACAGUGGUUUUGACGGGUAACGGGGAAUUAGGGUUCGAUUCCGGAGAGGGAGCCUGAGAAACGGCUACCACUUCUACGGAAGGCCUCAGGCAGCAAAUUACCCCCUGGUGAAGGCCGAGGUAGUGACGAAAAAUAACGAUACCGGACUCAUCCGAGGCCCGGUAAUCGGAAUGAGUACACUUUAAAUCCUUUAACGAGGAUCAAUUGGAGGGCAAGUCUGGU